RNAcentral lists this long non-coding RNA (207 nucleotides) under Ananas comosus (pineapple). RNAcentral describes it as "long non-coding RNA (ACOM_LNC040684)". The record is from RNAcentral. Lineage: Eukaryota; Viridiplantae; Streptophyta; Magnoliopsida; Poales; Bromeliaceae.
GAAAUUUGCCACCUCCCCUUGAAAAAUUCUAGAAUGCAACGGGUAUAUUAGUGACGUGGCGUAACAAACCAAUCAAAUUAAUGCUUUUAAGAAUAUAUGUCCCAUCAUAAUUGUAAAAAAAUAUUUUUAUUGUACUUUUGUUUGAAAAAAAGGAAUAUGAUUGGCUUGUUAUUGAUGACGUAGUGCAAGUGUGACAGUGUAGAAUUC